AGGAUUCAAGAAGUUUCUACAUUGCUAUGGUCUACACCCUUUCGAUUAUAUGGAAAUUGAAAACCUUUCUAUUAUAUGGAAAUUUAAAAAUGAACUCAUCUUUCAAGGAUCUAAUCCGUCCUACAGGUGCUAUUAAAAGGAUUUUUGAUCUCUACCAUUUGAUUCUUGCGCCUAUCCUACUAAUAUUUUCCAGACUAAUCAAUCAAGGACUUAGUCUUCUCCCAGUCCUAGAGAGCACUUCAUCUAAUGGUCGCUUUAGCAUGGUUCAAAAUUGACAAAAUGACAUGACUCGAGGAACUACUAUGGUUCAAAAGUCAAAAGGAUUCCAAUUGUUGCCCGUUUGAAGCUUCAAGUUUGCUAGAAAACUUAAGGCUACAAUUCUUAUCCUUCGCGCUAUUCUU
Molecule: long non-coding RNA, 401 nt
Filed under: Gossypium barbadense (sea-island cotton)
Lineage: Eukaryota; Viridiplantae; Streptophyta; Magnoliopsida; Malvales; Malvaceae
Description: long non-coding RNA (GBAR_LNC015214)
Source: RNAcentral